AUUGAACGCUGGCGGCAGGCUUAACACAUGCAAGUCGAGCGAGCGGCGGCCGGGUGAUUAAUGUCUGGGAAACUGCCUGAUGGAGGGUGAUAACUACUGGAAACGGUAGCUAAUACCUCAUACUAUCAGAUGUGCCCAGAUGGGCUUAGCUAGUAGGUGGGGUAAUGGCUCACCGAGGCGACGAUCCCUAGCGGGUCUGAGAGGAUGACCAGCCACACUGGAACUGAGACACGGUCCAGACGCCUACGGGAGGCAGCAGGGGGGAAUAUGGCACAAUGGGAGCAAGCCUGAUGCAGCGAUGCCGCGUGUGUGAAGAAGGCCUUCGGGUUGUAAAGCACUUUCAGCGAGGAGGCGUUACUCGCAGAAGAAGCACCGGCUAACUCCGUGCCAGCAGCCGCGGUAAUUC
This 406-nucleotide ribosomal RNA is filed under the name uncultured bacterium. RNAcentral describes it as "partial 16S ribosomal RNA". It matches the Rfam family "Bacterial small subunit ribosomal RNA", at positions 30 to 526 of the family's 1533-position model. The record is from RNAcentral.